This 214-nucleotide unclassified non-coding RNA is filed under the name Glomus sp. Its description in RNAcentral is "partial contains 5.8S ribosomal RNA and internal transcribed spacer 2". The stretch from base 1 to 65 matches the Rfam family "5.8S ribosomal RNA", at positions 84 to 154 of the family's 154-position model. The record is from RNAcentral. Lineage: Eukaryota; Fungi; Glomeromycota; Glomeromycetes; Glomerales; Glomeraceae.
GUGAAUCAUCGAAUUUUUGAACGCAAAUUGCACUCUCUUCGGAGAGUAUGCCUGUUUGAGGGGUAGCCUAAAAAAAAGCGACAUCGUCGCUGUUUCGCGGCGGCGUUCGUCGGAAUUUGGGUUAUCGUAAAUCUGUGGUUCAAGCGACUUAAAAUUUUCUUUACGAUUCUAUGAACGUUUCCAAGAUUUAUUUCUUUACACGUAUAAGGUAUCG